CAAUAGCGUAUAUUAAAGUUGUUGCAGUUAAAAAGCUCGUAGUUGGAUUUGUGGCGUACGGUGUGUUCCGGGCACUUGUUGCCUGAGUAACCUGCUGUUGCCAUCCUUGGGUGGAACCUGUGUGGCAUUAGGUUGUCGUGCAGGGGAUGCCCAUCAUUUACUGUGAAAAAAUUAGAGUGUUCAAAGCAGGCUUAUGCCAUUGAAUAUAUUAGCAUGGAAUAAUGAGAUAGGACUUUUUUGCUAUUUUGUUGGUUUGCGCAAAGAGGUAAUGAUUAAUAGGGACAGUUGGGGGUAUUCGUGUUCCAUUGUCAGAGGUGAAAUUCUUGGAUUUUUGGAGGACGAACUACUGCGAAAGCAUUUACCAAGGAUGUUUUCAUUAA
Molecule: ribosomal RNA, 380 nt
Filed under: uncultured eukaryote
Lineage: Eukaryota
Description: partial 18S ribosomal RNA
Rfam family: Eukaryotic small subunit ribosomal RNA
Source: RNAcentral